AACGCAUAUUGCGCUCGAGGCUUCGGCCGAGAGCAUGUCUGCCUCAGCGUCGGGUUUAUCUCAUUCCGUCACACCCAUUGCGUGUGGACGAAUGGAUCUGGUCGUUCCAAGCCAUUCAGUUGGAUUGGAUCGUCUGAAGAACAGAGUGAAGAUCGAAAACCUUUCUCUGAGACCCUCAACCGGUCAUAAGAGAGGGCCGCAACUGGGCAGUGAGCGAGAAGCCGCAAAGCUUCUCCUCUUCUUUGCUAGUUGUUGACCUUACAGGAAUUCGAUGACGUACUUCACCAAACCAGGAGAGGGAUACGUGCAUCUUCGGACUCGCGUGACCCCUACACCAUACAUAUCCUCGACCUGAGCUCAGGCAAGAACACCCGCUGAACUUAA
This 384-nucleotide unclassified non-coding RNA is filed under the name uncultured fungus. Its description in RNAcentral is "partial contains 5.8S ribosomal RNA, internal transcribed spacer 2, and large subunit ribosomal RNA". The record is from RNAcentral. Lineage: Eukaryota; Fungi.